This 1447-nucleotide long non-coding RNA is filed under the name Numida meleagris (helmeted guineafowl). RNAcentral describes it as "lncRNA (ENSNMEG00000018084.1)". Lineage: Eukaryota; Metazoa; Chordata; Aves; Galliformes; Numididae. The record is from RNAcentral.
CCUGCACCGACAAAAGUGCUUGUGGCUGUUCACUGUGGUGCCGUGGAGUCCUUCUGCAAAACAGCCAGCACCUACUGCUUGAUUUUUGUGCUGGAGCUCUUUAAGCUCAGUUCUGAUUGGGAUUUCUGUCUCCACAUGUUCUUGCUUUCCAUUCUGAGUAAUGUAGAAGUGCAUGGGGGAAUAUCUGCAGCCUAGGGAAGAAUUUUCUGGAUGAAUUUUCUGGAUGAAAUUUGUUACAGCUCAUUCAGAAGACUCAUGUCCAAGCCCCGCAUUGGAGACCAUGGGGCUUUUACUGGUCACAACUGUGAUAUAUUAGUGGAAGAAAAAAACAAAGAUUUGCACGGUCCUCAUAAAACUCACAGCAGUUCCAAAUGUAUAGAUCUGUUCCCACAACUUCUGUGGAUGUGUCAUCUGUUAUGCUCAGGUAAUACAUCUUAAUUUGCUUGUAUCCUUGUGACGCGGUUUCUGGCUUGGAUACUCUUAGCUUAGAAGUUGGGUGAUUUCUUGCCCACCUCCAGCUGGCAGGUACUUACCUGUAGCGCUGCGAUGAACAGAGGAUAUCUACCAAAAGAUGAUUUAAGCCCUCACUGGAUCUAUGGCUCCAUCAGAUGUUCUGUGUCACUGUUGCCUUGAGGCCUUGAGCGAUCAUCCAGGAAUUAUGUUGUAGCCUUGUGAUAGAGAGAGGAGAAGAAGGUUGGGUUGCCUGCCAGGGUGACACCAAAUGGAGCUCAGGGGGCAGAUGGUGGAGAGCCUGUGUGUGCUGGACCCCAGGAACCCUAGGUUCAGGAUCCAGAACUGAAUCUCUCUCUAGUCUGAGUGGUUAGUCAUUUUAUCUGUCUUCAGAAAGGAACUUUUCUUGCUGUAUUGUAUUAUUGUUCCAAGUAGAUAAAUUAAAAAAAAGAGCUUGAAACUCUCUGAAACUGCUUUGUUGGAUUUGUGCUUAGGCUAAGAUAAAGUAAAUAUUAUAAUGCAGAACAAGGAGGGGGAAAAAAGAGAGAAACAACCCAGACAGCUUGUACUCUAUUUUUGCCCUCCAAAAACUAUUUGUAGAAAUAACCAUGUCUUGUACUUUUCCUGAUAGUGAUGAAAAACAGCCUCUAUAUUCUGCUCAGAGGAAUGUAUAAAUUCCUUUUAGAUAACCACAAUCCCAGUCAAGCAUCCUUGAGCGGAAGGUUUACUUGUACUCAUUAUGGAGUUUGCAUAUUGGUUGGUGUGUGAAAGAAGGGGAAAUAGAGAAGGGAAGGGGAAAAAAAGGAACAAAUUAAAUAGGGAGAGUGGAAAAAGCCAAGGAGAAUGUAUCAACAGUAAGACAAUACAGAAAGGAAAGGAAGUCUGUAUUUUAUGGGGAAAGCACCUUUAGGUAGGAUAACAGAUUUUUUUUGGUGACAAAAGGAAAUACUGGAUCUUCUUUAGGAAAAAAAUAAAAAUAAUCCUGGUUUAAAGUACA